AUGCAAACUGCGAAUACCGGAGAAUGUUAUCACGGGAGACACACGGCGGGUGCUAACGUCCGUCGUGAAGAGGGAAACAACCCAGACCGCCAGCUAAGGUCCCAAAGUCAUGGUUAAGUGGGAAACGAUGUGGGAAGGCCCAGACAGCCAGGAUGUUGGCUUAGAAGCAGCCAUCAUUUAAAGAAAGCGUAAUAGCUCACUGGUCGAGUCGGCCUGCGCGGAAGAUGUAACGGGGCUAAACCAUGCACCGAAGCUGCGGCAGCGA
Molecule: ribosomal RNA, 265 nt
Filed under: Salmonella enterica subsp. enterica serovar Kentucky
Lineage: Bacteria; Pseudomonadati; Pseudomonadota; Gammaproteobacteria; Enterobacterales; Enterobacteriaceae
Description: partial 23S ribosomal RNA
Rfam family: Bacterial large subunit ribosomal RNA
Source: RNAcentral